ACCAGGGCUUCGGCCCUGGGGACAGCGGCGAACGGGUGAGUAACACGUGGAUAACCUGCCCUCGGCACCGGGAUAGCCCGAGGAAACUCGGAUUAAUACCGGAUAGCCUUUCCGACUCUCGGGUCGGUUCGAAAAGGUAGCUUCGGCCUCUGGCCGAGGAUGGGUCCGCGGCGGAUUAGCUUGUUGGUGGGGUAACGGCCUACCAAGGCUCCGAUCCGUAGCUGGUCUGAGAGGACGAUCAGCCACACUGGGACUGAGACACGGCCCAGACUCCUACGGGAGGCAGCAGUGGGGAAUCUUGCGCAAUGGGCGAAAGCCUGACGCAGCGACGCCGCGUGAGGGAAGAAGGCCUUCGGG
RNAcentral lists this ribosomal RNA (357 nucleotides) under uncultured bacterium. RNAcentral's name for it is "bacterial SSU rRNA". It matches the Rfam family "Bacterial small subunit ribosomal RNA", at positions 71 to 422 of the family's 1533-position model. The record is from RNAcentral.